AGUGAACGCUGGCGGUAGGCCUAACACAUGCAAGUCGAACGGCAGCACAGUAAGAGCUUGCUCUUACGGGUGGCGAGUGGCGGACGGGUGAGGAAUACAUCGGAAUCUACUUUUUCGUGGGGGAUAACGUAGGGAAACUUACGCUAAUACCGCAUACGACCUACGGGUGAAAGCAGGGGAUCUUCGGACCUUGCGCGAUUGAAUGAGCCGAUGUCGGAUUAGCUAGUUGGCGGGGUAAAGGCCCACCAAGGCGACGAUCCGUAGCUGGUCUGAGAGGAUGGUCAGCCACACUGGAACUGAGACACGGUCCAUACUCCUACGGGACGCAGCAGUGGGGAAUAUUAGACAAUGGGCGCAAGCCUGAUCCAGCCAUACCGCGUGUGUGAAGAAGGCCUUCGGGUUGUAAAGCCCUUUUGUUGGGAAAGAAAAGCAGCAGGUUAAUACCCCGCUGUUCUGACGGUACCCAAAGAAUAAGCACCGGCUAACUUCGUG
RNAcentral lists this ribosomal RNA (492 nucleotides) under uncultured bacterium. Its description in RNAcentral is "partial 16S ribosomal RNA". It matches the Rfam family "Bacterial small subunit ribosomal RNA", at positions 29 to 507 of the family's 1533-position model. The record is from RNAcentral.